UUUAUGGAGAGUUUGAUCCUGGCUCAGGAUGAACGCUGGCGGCGUGCCUAAUACAUGCAAGUCGAGCGAACGGACGAGAAGCUUGCUUCUCUGAUGUUAGCGGCGGACGGGUGAGUAACACGUGGAUAACCUACCUAUAAGACUGGGAUAACUUCGGGAAACCGGAGCUAAUACCGGAUAAUAUUUUGAACCGCAUGGUUCAAAAGUGAAAGACGGUCUUGCUGUCACUUAUAGAUGGAUCCGCGCUGCAUUAGCUAGUUGGUAAGGUAACGGCUUACCAAGGCAACGAUGCAUAGCCGACCUGAGAGGGUGAUCGGCCACACUGGAACUGAGACACGGUCCAGACUCCUACGGGAGGCAGCAGUAGGGAAUCUUCCGCAAUGGGCGAAAGCCUGACGGAGCAACGCCGCGUGAGUGAUGAAGGUCUUCGGAUCGUAAAACUCUGUUAUUAGGGAAGAACAUAUGUGUAAGUAACUGUGCACAUCUUGACGGUACCUAAUCAGAAAGCCACGGCUAACUACGUGCCAGCAGCCGCGGUAAUACGUAGGUGGCAAGCGUUAUCCGGAAUUAUUGGGCGUAAAGCGCGCGUAGGCGGUUUUUUAAGUCUGAUGUGAAAGCCCACGGCUCAACCGUGGAGGGUCAUUGGAAACUGGAAAACUUGAGUGCGGAAGAGGAAAGUGGAAUUCCAUGUGUAGCGGUGAAAUGCGCAGAGAUAUGGAGGAACACCAGUGGCGAAGGCGACUUUCUGGUCUGUAACUGACGCUGAUGUGCGAAAGCGUGGGGAUCAAACAGGAUUAGAUACCCUGGUAGUCCACGCCGUAAACGAUGAGUGCUAAGUGUUAGGGGGUUUCCGCCCCUUAGUGCUGCAGCUAACGCAUUAAGCACUCCGCCUGGGGAGUACGACCGCAAGGUUGAAACUCAAAGGAAUUGACGGGGACCCGCACAAGCGGUGGAGCAUGUGGUUUAAUUCGAAGCAACGCGAAGAACCUUACCAAAUCUUGACAUCCUUUGACAACUCUAGAGAUAGAGCUUUCCCCUUCGGGGGAGGGGGACAAAGUGACAGGUGGUGCAUGGUUGUCGUCAGCUCGUGUCGUGAGAUGUUGGGUUAAGUCCCGCAACGAGCGCAACCCUUAAGCUUAGUUGCCAUCAUUAAGUUGGGCACUCUAAGUUGACUGCCGGUGACAAACCGGAGGAAGGUGGGGAUGACGUCAAAUCAUCAUGCCCCUUAUGAUUUGGGCUACACACGUGCUACAAUGGACAAUACAAAGGGCAGCGAAACCGUGAGGUCAAGCAAAUCCCAUAAAGUUGUUCUCAGUUCGGAUUGUAGUCUGCAACUCGACUACAUGAAGCUGGAAUCGCUAGUAAUCGUAGAUCAGCAUGCUACGGUGAAUACGUUCCCGGGUCUUGUACACACCGCCCGUCACACCACGAGAGUUUGUAACACCCGAAGCCGGUGGAGUAACCUUUUAGGAGCUAGCCGUCGAAGGUGGGACAAAUGAUUGGGGUGAAGUCGUAACAAGGUAGCCGUAUCGGAAGGUGCGGCUGGAUCACCUCCUUUCU
This 1560-nucleotide ribosomal RNA is filed under the name Staphylococcus aureus. RNAcentral's name for it is "16S ribosomal RNA". It matches the Rfam family "Bacterial small subunit ribosomal RNA". The record is from RNAcentral. Lineage: Bacteria; Bacillati; Bacillota; Bacilli; Caryophanales; Staphylococcaceae.